Molecule: ribosomal RNA, 497 nt
Filed under: uncultured bacterium
Lineage: Bacteria
Description: partial 16S ribosomal RNA
Rfam family: Bacterial small subunit ribosomal RNA
Source: RNAcentral
GAUGAACGCUGGCGGCGUGCCUAAUACAUGCAAGUCGAGCGAACAGACGAGGAGCUUGCUCCUCUGACGUUAGCGGCGGACGGGUGAGUAACACGUGGAUAACCUACCUAUAAGACUGGGAUAACUUCGGGAAACCGGAGCUAAUACCGGAUAAUAUAUUGAACCGCAUGGUUCAAUAGUGAAAGACGGUUUUGCUGUCACUUAUAGAUGGAUCCGCGCCGCAUUAGCUAGUUGGUAAGGUAACGGCUUACCAAGGCAACGAUGCGUAGCCGACCUGAGAGCGUCAUCGGCCACACUGGAACUGAGACACGUUCCAGACUCCUACGGGAGGAAGCAGCAGGGAAUCUUCCGCAAUGGGCGAAAGCCUGACGGAGCACCGCCGCGUGAGUGAUGAAGGUCUUCGGAUCGUAAAACUCUGUUAUUAGGGAAGAACAAAUGUGUAAGUAACUAUGCACGUCUUGACGGUACCUAAUCAGAAAGCCACGGCUAACUACGUG